Molecule: ribosomal RNA, 253 nt
Filed under: uncultured bacterium
Lineage: Bacteria
Description: partial 16S ribosomal RNA
Rfam family: Bacterial small subunit ribosomal RNA
Source: RNAcentral
GACGUAGGGCGCGAGCGUUGUCCGGAUUUAUUGGGCGUAAAGAGCUCGUAGGCGGCUCGUUGCGUCGGCUGUGAAAACCCGCAGCUCAACUGUGGGCUUGCAGCCGAUACGGGCGGGCUGGAGUUCGGUAGGGGAGACUGGAAUUCCUGGUGUAGCGGUGAAAUGCGCAGAUAUCAGGAGGAACACCGGUGGCGAAGGCGGGUCUCUGGGCCGAUACUGACGCUGAGGAGCGAAAGCGUGGGGAGCGAUCAGG